Molecule: transfer RNA, 71 nt
Filed under: Loxodonta africana (African savanna elephant)
Lineage: Eukaryota; Metazoa; Chordata; Mammalia; Proboscidea; Elephantidae
Rfam family: tRNA
About the family: Transfer RNA (tRNA) molecules are approximately 80 nucleotides in length.
Source: Rfam by way of RNAcentral
GCACGGGUGGUUCAGUGGUAGAAUUCUCACCUUCCAUGCGGGAGACCUGAGUUCAAUUCCCAGUCAAUGCA